AUACGGAGGGUGCAAGCGUUAAUCGGAAUUACUGGGCGUAAAGCGUACGUAGGCGGUCCGUUAAGUUAGAUGUGAAAGCCCCGGGCUUAACCUGGGAACUGCAUUUAAAACUGGCGAACUAGAGUUGAGUAGAGGGGAGUGGAAUUUCAGGUGUAGCGGUGAAAUGCGUAGAGAUCUGAAGGAACACCAGCGGCGAAGGCGACUCCCUGGACUCGAACUGACGCUGAGGUACGAAAGCGUGGGUAGCAAACGGGAUUAGAUACCCUAGUAGUCCC
This 275-nucleotide ribosomal RNA is filed under the name uncultured bacterium. RNAcentral describes it as "partial 16S ribosomal RNA". It matches the Rfam family "Bacterial small subunit ribosomal RNA", at positions 523 to 797 of the family's 1533-position model. The record is from RNAcentral.